UUUCCUCCCGAGUGCUUGCACUCAAUUGGAAAGAGGAGUGGCGGACGGGUGAGUAACACGUGGGUAACCUACCCAUCAGAGGGGGAUAACACUUGGAAACAGGUGCUAAUACCGCAUAACAGUUUAUGCCGCAUGGCAUAAGAGUGAAAGGCGCUUUCGGGUGUC
This 165-nucleotide ribosomal RNA is filed under the name Enterococcus sp. KT04. RNAcentral's name for it is "partial 16S ribosomal RNA". It matches the Rfam family "Bacterial small subunit ribosomal RNA", at positions 67 to 216 of the family's 1533-position model. Lineage: Bacteria; Bacillati; Bacillota; Bacilli; Lactobacillales; Enterococcaceae. The record is from RNAcentral.